This 414-nucleotide ribosomal RNA is filed under the name Odontella aurita. RNAcentral's name for it is "bacterial SSU rRNA". It matches the Rfam family "Bacterial small subunit ribosomal RNA", at positions 229 to 656 of the family's 1533-position model. Lineage: Eukaryota; Bacillariophyta; Thalassiosirophyceae; Eupodiscales; Odontellaceae. The record is from RNAcentral.
GUUAGUAGGUGUUUCUCUUGUUGGUGAGGUAAUGGCUUACCAAGGCGACUAUCAGUAUCUGGUUUGAGAGGAUGAUCAGACACACUGGAACUGAGACACGGUCCAGACUCCUACGGGAGGCAGCAGUGGGGAAUUUUCCGCAAUGGGCGAAAGCCUGACGGAGCAAUCUCGCGUGAGGGAUGACGGCCUAUGGGUUGUAAACCUCUUUUUUCAGGGAGGAAUAAAUUGACGUGUACCUGAAGAAUAAGCAUCGGCUAACUCCGUGCCAGCAGCCGCGGUAAGACGGAGGAUGCAAGUGUUAUCCGGAAUCACUGGGCGUAAAGCGUCUGUAGGUGGUUUAAUAAGUCAACUGUUAAAUCUUGAAGCUCAACUUCAAAAUCGCAGUCGAAACUAUAAGACUAGAGUUAUAGUAGA